RNAcentral lists this unclassified non-coding RNA (285 nucleotides) under Carex firmula. RNAcentral describes it as "partial external transcribed spacer". The record is from RNAcentral. Lineage: Eukaryota; Viridiplantae; Streptophyta; Magnoliopsida; Poales; Cyperaceae.
GCUCGCGAUCGGUUGCCUGUGCGGUUCUACCCUCUUGCGGGUAGCGAGGUCGUCCCUCGAUGGAUAUUUGCUUGCCUUUCCGACGCACUGUCGUCCGGGCGGCCGAAUUGUUGGCGAAAUCCCUGUGUCGGUGCGCGGUCGGACGCCGCGUUGCUAUCGCUUGGAUUUCUGCCGGCUCUCACGGAUGCGGUGCCUAUUGCCAGCUCUGCGGGGCUCUGCCCCGCAGACUUCGGGAGGUCCCUCGCGCGCAUCACUGCUCUCAUACGCCGUCUGUCGUGUUGCCGG